Molecule: ribosomal RNA, 497 nt
Filed under: uncultured bacterium
Lineage: Bacteria
Description: partial 16S ribosomal RNA
Rfam family: Bacterial small subunit ribosomal RNA
Source: RNAcentral
GAUGAACGCUGGCGGCGUGCCUAAUACAUGCAAGUCGAGCGAACAGACGAGGAGCUUGCUCCUCUGACGUUAGCGGCGGACGGGUGAGUAACACGUGGAUAACCUACCUAUAAGACUGGGAUAACUUCGGGAAACCGGAGCUAAUACCGGAUAAUAUAUUGAACCGCAUGGUUCAAUAGUGAAAGACGGUUUUGCUGUCACUUAUAGAUGGAUCCGCGCCGCAUUAGCUAGUUGGUAAGGUAACGGCUUACCAAGGCAACGAUGCGUAGCCGACCUGAGAGGAUGAUCGGCCACACUGGAACUGAGCCACGGUCCAGACUCCGACGGGAGGCAGAAGUAGGGAAUCUUCCGCAAUGGGCGAAAGCCUGACGGAGCAAUGACGCGUGAGGGAUGAAGGUCUUCGGAUCGUAAAACUCUGUUAUUAGGGAAGAACAAAUGUGUAAGUAACUAUGCACGUCUUGACGGUACCUAAUCAGAAAGCCACGGCUAACUACGUG